CAGUCGCCACGGUAAUACGAAGGGGGCUAGCGUUGCUCGGAAUGACUGGGCGUAAAGGGCGCGUAGGCGGUUUUCCAAGUUAGAUGUGAAAUUCCUGGGCUCAACCUGGGGGCUGCAUUUGAUACUGGGAGGCUUGAGUAUGGAAGAGGGUCGUGGAAUUCCCAGUGUAGAGGUGAAAUUCGUAGAUAUUGGGAAGAACACCGGUGGCGAAGGCGGCGACCUGGUCCAUAACUGACGCUGAGGCGCGAAAGCGUGGGGAGCAAACAGGAUUAGAUACCCCAGUAGUCCCUGUCUCUUAUAA
RNAcentral lists this ribosomal RNA (301 nucleotides) under uncultured bacterium. RNAcentral describes it as "partial 16S ribosomal RNA". It matches the Rfam family "Bacterial small subunit ribosomal RNA", at positions 509 to 809 of the family's 1533-position model. The record is from RNAcentral.